Molecule: ribosomal RNA, 201 nt
Filed under: Triticum aestivum (bread wheat)
Lineage: Eukaryota; Viridiplantae; Streptophyta; Magnoliopsida; Poales; Poaceae
Description: partial small subunit ribosomal RNA
Source: RNAcentral
ACCCUGCAAUCAAAUAGAUUGUCCCAAGGGCGCCAUAUUCUAGGAUCCCAAGUUAUGCUAUUGAAAAUUCAUUCCUCUAGCAGUUCCGGUUUGAGCAUUCCGUUCCCUUUUUCAAACUCCACUUCUUUGAUCGAUUAUAUAUUGAAUCCCUUUUCUAAGCAAUACCGCUCUGUUAUUGGUCUAUUAUAUACUAAAUACUAA